GACGAACGCUGGCGGCGUGCUUAACACAUGCAAGUCGAACGGAAAGGCCCUGCUUUUGUGGGGUGCUCGAGUGGCGAACGGGUGAGUAACACGUGAGUAACCUGCCCUUGACUUUGGAUAACUUCAGGAAACUGGGGCUAAUACCGGAAAGGAGCCCCUGCUGCAUGGGGGGGGGUGGAAAGUUUCGGCGGUUGGGGAUGGACUCGCGGCUUAUCAGCUUGUUGGUGGGGUAGUGGCUUACCAAGGCUUUGAGGGGUAGCCGGCCUGAGAGGGUGACCGGCCACAUUGGGACUGCGAUACGGCCCAGACUCCUACGGGAGGCAGCAGUGGGGAAUAUUGCACAAUGGGCGGAAGCCUGAUGCAGCAACGCCGCGUGCGGGAUGACGGCCUUCGGGUUGUAAACCGCUUUCGCCUGUGACGAAGCGUGAGUGACGGUAAUGGGUAAAGAAGCACCGGAUAACUACGUG
This 467-nucleotide ribosomal RNA is filed under the name uncultured bacterium. Its description in RNAcentral is "partial 16S ribosomal RNA". It matches the Rfam family "Bacterial small subunit ribosomal RNA", at positions 28 to 507 of the family's 1533-position model. The record is from RNAcentral.